RNAcentral lists this ribosomal RNA (384 nucleotides) under uncultured bacterium. Its description in RNAcentral is "bacterial SSU rRNA". It matches the Rfam family "Bacterial small subunit ribosomal RNA", at positions 28 to 412 of the family's 1533-position model. The record is from RNAcentral.
GACGAACGCUGGCGGCGUGCUUAACACAUGCAAGUCGAGCGGUAAGGCCCUUUCGGGGGUACACGAGCGGCGAACGGGUGAGUAACACGUGGGUGACCUGCCUUUAGCUCUGGGAUAAGCCUGGGAAACUGGGUCUAAUACCGGAUACGACUCCGCGGUGCAUGCUGUGGGGUGGAAAGCCUUGUGCGGCUGGAGAUGGGCCCGCGGCCUAUCAGCUUGUUGGUGGGGUGAUGGCCUACCAAGGCGACGACGGGUAGCCGGCCUGAGAGGGCGACCGGCCACACUGGGACUGAGACACGGCCCAGACUCCUACGGGAGGCAGCAGUGGGGAAGUCUUGCGCAAUGGGCGAAAGCCUGACGCAGCGACGCCGCGUGAGGGAUGAC